Molecule: non-coding RNA, 449 nt
Organism: Delphinapterus leucas (beluga whale)
Lineage: Eukaryota; Metazoa; Chordata; Mammalia; Artiodactyla; Monodontidae
Source: RefSeq, a predicted model, not a curated record
UUUCUGGUAGAAGUCUGAAGGUCUGACCGAAGAAAAAAAAUCCAGUACAGCCAAUGAAUUGAGGACAAGAAGGUUUCCGAUCAGCCUUUCUUUAAUUUUCGAGAUUGUUAAAAGAGGGCAAAGAAAGAGGAGAAGACCCCUGAGUCAGGGUUGAACAGCCCAGACAGCAAGAUGUCUGAAGAUGAAGACCAUCACAUGGUUGAGUAGAUCAGAUACGUGAAGGAAAUAAGUAAGUUUCCUGAGUUUCUGGGAAGGCCUGGUUUCCCCAAAGGAACAAUUUCUGGUAGAAGUCUGAAGGUCUGACCCAAGAAAAAAAAUCCAGUAUAGCCAAUGAAUUGAGGACAAGAAGGUUUCCAAUCAGGUAGGAACAUUUAAUCUCAUACAUUACUAUCACCUUAAGUAAGGUGUGCUGAUAGCUGGGUAUGAUUUAACUGCUUGGAAAAAGAUGC